AUGCCGUCCCUUCGAGCGGCCAUGGCGGACGGCGCCGACCGCGUCGAGGCCACGACGAUCGGCAACGACAAGGAGACCCUGCUGAGCCUGCUCCGCGCCAAGUCGGAGCGGAGCGCCGAGGCGGAGGAGAAGGUGGAGUGGGUGCGAUCGCAGAUGGUCGGCCGCGACGCAGAGUUCGACACGCCGUUCGGCCGCCGCGCCCUCGUCUACGCCGACCACACCGCCUCCGGGCGCGGCCUACGCUACAUCGAGGACUACAUCCUCACACAAGUCCUCCCCUUCUACGGGAAUACGCACACGGAGGACAGCUACGUCGGUAGCAGGACGACGAAGAUGGUGAGGACGGCGGCGAGCUACAUCAAGCGGUGCAUGGGCGCCGGUGCCGACGACGCGCUGAUCUUCUGCGGCUCCGGCGCCACGGCGGCGGUGAAGCGGCUGCAGGAGGUGAUGGGGAUGGCCGCGCCGCCGGGGCCGCUUCUGCGGGCGAGGCUGCUCUCGCAGCUGCGCGCCGAGGAGCGGUGGGUGGUCUUCGUGGGACCCUACGAGCACCACUCCAACCUGCUGUCGUGGCGGCAGAGCCUGGCGGACGUCGUGGAGGUCGGCGCCGGCGACGACGGGCUCGUCGACCUCGCCGCGCUCCGGCGCGCGCUGGGCUCCCCCGAGUACGCGAAGCGGCCCAUGCUGGGGUCAUUCUCGGCGUGCAGCAACGCCACCGGCAUCGUCACCGAUACCCGAGCGAUCGCGCGCGUCCUGCACCAGCAUGGGGCUUUCGCCUGCUUCGACUUUGCCGCGAGCGGGCCCUACGUGGAGAUCGACAUGAGGUCGGGCGACAUGGACGGCUACGACGCCGUGUUCCUCAGCCCGCACAAGUUCCCCGGCGGCCCCGGCACGCCGGGCCUCCUGCUCAUGAACCGCUCCCUCUACCGCCUCGCCUCGCUGCCGCCCACCACGUGCGGCGGCGGCACCGUCGCCUACGUCAACGCCCGCAGCGAGGACGACACGGUGUACCUCGACGACGUGGAGGAGCGCGAGGACGCCGGCACGCCGCCCAUCACGCAGAAGGUGCGCGCCUCGCUCGCGUUCUGGGUCAAGGAGCACGUCGGGCUCGGCGCCAUCGCGCUCCGCGAGCGCGUCCACGCCGACGCCGCCAUGCGGUGGCUCCUGUCCAACCCCGCCGUCAAGGUGCUCGGCAGCGUCGAGGCGCGCCGCCUGCCGAUAUUCUCGUUCCUCGUCUACCCCGGCGGCGACACGACGCUGGGGAGGAGGCGUCGGCGGCUGCCACUCCACGGGCGGUUUGUCGCCAAGCUCAUGAACGAUCUGUUCGGCAUCCAGGCCAGGGGCGGCUGCGGCUGCGCGAGCCCGUACGGGCACGCCCUCCUCGGCGUCGGCGAGGAGCUCUCCCUUCGGAUCCGCUCCGCCAUUCUUAAGGGCUAUCACGGUGUGAAGCCGGGAUGGACGAGGGUGAGCUUCGCCUACUACCUCCCACCGGAGGAGUUCCGGUUCAUCCUCGCCGCCAUCGACUUCGUCGCGGCGCACGGCCACCGGUUUCUGCCGCUGUACAAUUUCGACUGGGCCACCGGCAACUGGACCUUCCGGCGCCGUGCGGUCAAGCACCACCUCAUGCUGGAGGAGCUGCUGCAUGGUCAUGGUAGCUCUAACACGAAGAUGAAGGGGAGCAAGACUGCUGGCGACAGCGACAAGUUCGAGGGCUACCUGGAGUUUGCCACCAAGGUCGCGCUGUCGCUGCCGGAGACGUGUGAUGAGCAGCAGGUUCCCGAAGGAAUCGACCCUGACAUUGUACUUUUUCGAGUGUGA
This 1815-nucleotide ribosomal RNA is filed under the name Triticum aestivum (bread wheat). RNAcentral's name for it is "partial small subunit ribosomal RNA". The record is from RNAcentral. Lineage: Eukaryota; Viridiplantae; Streptophyta; Magnoliopsida; Poales; Poaceae.